This 516-nucleotide ribosomal RNA is filed under the name uncultured bacterium. RNAcentral's name for it is "bacterial SSU rRNA". It matches the Rfam family "Bacterial small subunit ribosomal RNA", at positions 791 to 1314 of the family's 1533-position model. The record is from RNAcentral.
UAGUCCACGCCCUAAACGAUGUUAACUCGAUGUUUGUAUUUAUAUGAGCAUCCAAGGGAAACCGUUAAGUUAACCACCUGGGAAGUACGUUCGCAAGAAUGAAACUCAAAGGAAUUGACGGGGGCCCGCACAAGCGGUGGAGCAUGUGGCUUAAUUCGAUGCAACGCGAGGAACCUUACCUGGGCUCGAAUGCUACCGGACAAGCUCUGAAAGGAGCCUUCCUUCGGGUCGGUAGUAAGGUGCUGCAUGGCUGUCGUCAGUUCGUGUCGUGAGAUGUUGGGUUAAGUCCCGCAACGAACGCAACCCCUAUCGUUAGUUACCAGCGAGUUAUGUCGGGAACUCUAGCGAGACUGCCUGCGCAAGCAGUGAGGAAGGUGGGGACGACGUCAAGUCAUCAUGGCCCUUACGCCCAGGGCUGCACACGUGCUACAAUGGACGAUACAACAGGCUGCCACUUCGCAAGAAGGAGCUAAUCCCUAAAGUCGUUACUCAGUUCGGAUCGGAGUCUACAGCUCG